RNAcentral lists this long non-coding RNA (260 nucleotides) under Homo sapiens (human). Its description in RNAcentral is "non-protein coding lnc-USP45-1:1". The record is from RNAcentral. Lineage: Eukaryota; Metazoa; Chordata; Mammalia; Primates; Hominidae.
GUUAGAUUUUAGAUAUAGUAAAUUAUUUAUAUGUUUUUUAAUAAAUUAAUUUAAGACACAUGUCACUUACAUGGUACAUUGAUAGACUCAGGGAUUUUUUGAUACUCCAGAAUUUCCCAUAUCUCUCUAACAUCAAUUAACAUAAUAUUUUUAGAAUUCAACAGGUUUUUAAGUUCCUUAUAAGUGACAUCUUUAGAAAUAGCAGUAUAAAAAUUGUGGCAGUUUCCCUUUAUUGACGUCAAACCUGGAAAAAAUAAACA